AUUGAACGCUGGCGGCAGGCUUAACACAUGCAAGUCGAACGAGAGGCGGACUGGUGAGUAAUGCUUGGGACUCUAGCUUAUGGAGGCGGAUAACUACGGGAAACUGUAGAUAAUACCGCUUAACAUAGGAUGAGCGCAAGUGGGAUUAGGGAGUGGGUGGGGUAAAGGCUCACCAAGCCGACGAUCUAUAGCUGGUCUGAGAGUGUGACCAGCCACACGGGGACUGAGACACGGCCCAGACUCCUACGGGAGGCAGCAGUGGGGAAUAUUGCGCAAUGGGGGAAACCUGACGCAGCCAUGCCGCGUGAAUGAAGAAGGCCUUCGGGUUGUAAAGUUCUUUCGGUAGCGAGGCGUUAACUUCAGAAGAAGCAACGGCUAACUCCGUGCCAGCAGCCGCGGUAAUUC
Molecule: ribosomal RNA, 405 nt
Filed under: uncultured bacterium
Lineage: Bacteria
Description: partial 16S ribosomal RNA
Rfam family: Bacterial small subunit ribosomal RNA
Source: RNAcentral